AGGGUUUCUCUCUCUCUCUUUCUUCUUCUCUCAUCUUUCACUUUUUUUUCUGGGAAAAUUGGAGUUUUGAAAGAGAGGUGAGUUUUCUUUUCCGCCACCGAUGAAGACCCACCGUGGCGACCCCUCUUGGGGUCGUCUUUGGCCACAAUUUGCUAUGGCAUUCGCCCUACUCCUUCUUUCUGCCAAUGUAGAAUUGGUUGCCGGAAAUGCUUACGUGUACGCUUCUCCACCCCCACCUUACGAGUACAAGUCGCCGCCGCCGCCGUCUCCGACUUAUUCUUCACCUCCUCCUCCUGAAUAUAAGUCUCCUCCACCACCGUCUCCAGUGUAUGAAUACAAGUCUCCACCACCACCAUCA
Molecule: unclassified non-coding RNA, 358 nt
Filed under: Hevea brasiliensis (rubber tree)
Lineage: Eukaryota; Viridiplantae; Streptophyta; Magnoliopsida; Malpighiales; Euphorbiaceae
Source: RNAcentral